UGCAGUCGNACGCUUCUUUUUCCACCGGAGCUUGCUCCACCGGAAAAAGAGGAGUGGCGAACGGGUGAGUAACACGUGGGUAACCUGCCCAUCAGAAGGGGAUAACACUUGGAAACAGGUGCUAAUACCGUAUAACAAUCGAAACCGCAUGGUUUUGAUUUGAAAGGCGCUUUCGGGUGUCGCUGAUGGAUGGACCCGCGGUGCAUUAGCUAGUUGGUGAGGUAACGGCUCACCAAGGCGACGAUGCAUAGCCGACCUGAGAGGGUGAUCGGCCACAUUGGGACUGAGACACGGCCCAAACUCCUACGGGAGGCAGCAGUAGGGAAUCUUCGGCAAUGGACGAAAGUCUGACCGAGCAACGCCGCGUGAGUGAAGAAGGUUUUCGGAUCGUAAAACUCUGUUGUUAGAGAAGAACAAGGAUGAGAGUAACUGUUCAUCCCUUGACGGUAUCUAACCAGAAAGCCACGGCUAACUACGUGC
RNAcentral lists this ribosomal RNA (480 nucleotides) under Enterococcus hirae. Its description in RNAcentral is "bacterial SSU rRNA". It matches the Rfam family "Bacterial small subunit ribosomal RNA", at positions 56 to 508 of the family's 1533-position model. The record is from RNAcentral. Lineage: Bacteria; Bacillati; Bacillota; Bacilli; Lactobacillales; Enterococcaceae.